This 423-nucleotide ribosomal RNA is filed under the name Pessonella sp. PRA-29. RNAcentral describes it as "partial Eukaryotic small subunit ribosomal RNA". It matches the Rfam family "Eukaryotic small subunit ribosomal RNA", at positions 811 to 1228 of the family's 1831-position model. The record is from RNAcentral. Lineage: Eukaryota; Discosea; Flabellinia; Vannellidae.
GGAAUAAUGAAAUAGGACAUCUGUUCUACUUUCAUUGGUUUUUUAGACCAAGAUGUAAUGAUUAAUGGAAGCAGUUGGGGGCAUUAGUAUUACAACGCGAGAGGUGAAAUUCUUAGACCGUUGUAAGACUAACUAAAGCGAAAGCAUUUGCCAAAGAUGUUUUCAUUUAAUCAAGAACGAAAGUUAGAGGUUCGAAGGCGAUCAGAUACCGCCCUAGUUCUAACCAUAAACGAUGCCAGCUAGCAAUUGGAUGUAGCUACUUCUAUGGCUCAUUCAGUCGCUUCUCGGGAAACCAAAGCUUUUGGGCUCCGGGGGAAGUAUGGUUGCAAAGCUGAAACUUAAAGGAAUUGACGGAAGGGCACCACCAGGAGUGGAGCCUGCGGCUUAAUUUGACCCAACACGGGAAAACUUACCAGGUCCGAA